UACGUAGGGGGCAAGCGUUAUCCGGAUUUACUGGGUGUAAAGGGAGCGUAGACGGCUUGGCAAGCCAGAUGUGAAAGGCUGGGGCUCAACCCCAGGACUGCAUUUGGAACUGUCAUGCUAGAGUGUCGGAGAGGCAGGCGGAAUUCCUAGUGUAGCGGUGAAAUGCGUAGAUAUUAGGAGGAACACCAGUGGCGAAGGCGGCCUGCUGGACGAUGACUGACGUAGAGGCUCGAAAGCGUGGGGAGCAAACAGG
This 253-nucleotide ribosomal RNA is filed under the name uncultured bacterium. Its description in RNAcentral is "partial 16S ribosomal RNA". It matches the Rfam family "Bacterial small subunit ribosomal RNA", at positions 524 to 776 of the family's 1533-position model. The record is from RNAcentral.